This 85-nucleotide transfer RNA is filed under the name Methanobacterium sp. RNAcentral's name for it is "tRNA-Ser". It matches the Rfam family "tRNA". Rfam says of the family: Transfer RNA (tRNA) molecules are approximately 80 nucleotides in length. Their secondary structure includes four short double-helical elements and three loops (D, anti-codon, and T loops). RNAcentral also lists the same sequence under 3 other names. The record is from RNAcentral. Lineage: Archaea; Methanobacteriati; Methanobacteriota; Methanobacteria; Methanobacteriales; Methanobacteriaceae.
GCCGGGAUAGUCUAGUCUGGUAAGGCGCGGGACUUGAAAUCCCGUGGAGAGUCUCUCCGCCUGGGUUCAAAUCCCAGUCCCGGCG